This 406-nucleotide ribosomal RNA is filed under the name uncultured bacterium. Its description in RNAcentral is "partial 16S ribosomal RNA". It matches the Rfam family "Bacterial small subunit ribosomal RNA", at positions 30 to 526 of the family's 1533-position model. The record is from RNAcentral.
AUUGAACGCUGGCGGCAGGCCUAACACAUGCAAGUCGAACGAGUGGCGGACGGGUGAGUAAUGUCUGGGAAACUGCCCGAUGGAGGGGGAUAACUACUGGAAACGGUAGCUAAUCCCGCAUACCAUCGGAUCUGUCCAGAUGGGAUUAGCUAGUCGGUGGGGUAAUGGCUCACCUAGGCGACGAUCCCUAGCUGGUCUGAGAGGAUGACCAGCCACAUUGGAACUGAGCCACGGUCCAGACUCCUACGGGAGGCAGCGGUUGGGAAUAUUGCACGAUGGGCGCAAGCCUUAUGCAGCCAUGCCGGGUGUAUGAAGAAGGCCUUCGGGUUGUAAAGUACUUUCAGCGAGGAGGCGUUACUCGCAGAAGAAGCAGCGGCUAACUCCGUGCCAGCCGCCGCGGUAAUAC